AUGCCUGGGCAGGGAAACCGCCCAGAGGCAGGAGUCUCUGUGCGGCCAGUGUCCUCUCACCCAACUUCUCCCUACACCUCUCCCGACCCUCCCGCCCAUGCCGCGAUGAUGACAGAGCCUGGAGCCCAGCAUGGAACGCUCCUCCCACCUCUCUGGUCUCCACCAUGGACCUCGUUACUCCAGGGCACAUCUGGCUCAGGUGUAGACAGAGCAAGUGCAGGGGCACAGCGGGGAUUCCAGCCCCAUGAGAGGCCUCAAAGGAGCCAGCGCAGAUCAGAUGCAAAACCAACUGUGGUCUACAUGGACAAGGAAGCCCUCUGUGUACAACGCCCAUGUGACAAAGCUGAGGAGGAGAUGCACCUGGCUCCAGGUCCUCCCUCCUGCAGCAGGCACAUGACCCAGUUUGGCUCUCACUGUCCAGCGGCUCCCGGAGAAGUGCUGGAUGGAUACAGGGUCUGGUGGGAAAGCUACCAUUGGGGCCUAACGAGGGCACCCGUACCCCAAGUUCUCUCUCUGAGAAGAAGGAAAGGAAACCACCAGUUAAUGUGCGCCAGCCAUGCGUUCUGCACUUGACCAAGGUCAGUUUUUCAGCAUCAUCCCUCACUAGAACUCUGGAAUAGAAGUUGUUCUCUGUUUCACAGAAGAGGAAAUGAGUCCCCAGCAGAGAAGAAAUCCCACCACUAUGGCUGGCCUCAGCCCUGUGGUGUUGGCUGCCUGCUGUCGAGAGCCUCAGCAGGAGGGAGAAGCUCAUUUGCCUGUUUAUGGGAGAGCGCUUUUCUUUCCUGCCUCCCUUCCCAGAGACCCAGCCUCAUCUUUCUGUCUUUAGCGUCCUUGACAAAGCUUGUGCAUUAUUGAGAAAGACCACCAAGCAGGGAACACUGCUCAGCUCACCUGACUUAGGGCCCCAUCGGAGGGAAAGAUGGUCCAAGAAAGCAGCAGCCCUCCCUCCUGGGCUGGGGUCCAGGACAGCCAAUCUCAGUGGAGUGAAAUUGUGGGGUGCCCCAGUCCAAGGGGGAUACCUGCAGCCUUGACAAUUAAAAUUCCAAAAACCCAGACCCCGUGACUUCAAGGGCACCCUGUAGGCCAUGACAGCUCCUGGGUCUGUGUUUCUGCAGCUGCGCAUUGUCCUUCUCUGGAAAGUGAUAAGCUGAGGGGCGCUGGCUUGCAGGGGAGCCAUCUCUGGGAUAAUCAACUUUUCACCACCGAUCCUGUGUGGAGUAUGAAGUUGGGAGCAGCAAGUUAUGUAAAACAAAGUGUGGAUUCUAAAUGGAUUCAAGAGAUGGAUGCAGGGGCAGAGGUCAGGGCCAGGGUGUCAGAGGGCAGCCUCCUAAUCUGCAUGCUGUGAACUCCAGUGAGUCCUCUCUGGGUACUAAUCUCAAGAUGAAAAGCCCAGAUAUGUGGUCAAGCCAGGAAGCCAUCCCUGGCCUGUUCCUCCUGGCCUGGGUUUGCAGCUUGGUGCUGGGCCUGGUACAGGAGUAAGGGGCUAGCCCACCAGUGUAAACACAGACUUUAGGAGGCAUAGGAGCCUGGCAAGGGCCUCCCCUCUUCCCACUUCCAGGCUCACAAUCCCCUGCAGAAAGCACUGAGCACAGAGGGCCAGGCCUGGUGCUCUGCUCCAGCUCCUUCCUGGGAGUGUCUUUCUUUCACAGCUGCUUCUCCACCACCAUUACCUUGACCUCCUGCACCCCAGCUCCAUAACCCUGACUGUAUUAGAACUGCUCCUCUGCAGGACACCACCUCAUUAGUAAACAAACACAUCAAUUUCACCUCCAAAAUGAUAUUGUCUAACUGCAUCACCACAGCCCUAAAUUACUUUGUGCUGUUUCCAAAAGUCAGUAUCACUCUCCAGACACGCACAUUCACACCCCCAAGAAGCAGGUUUGCUAAGGACGCAGGGAAUGUGUUGGGGCCAGGAUAUUACUGCUCAACAGAGAUGUCCCAGCCAUGUGGGGAGAUGCAGAGGCCUCCGCCCCCAAUGGAACAUGUGGGAGGGGCACUGCCCAUCUGACACGGACUCUCUCACUGCCUGGAAAGUGGCUGGUCAUUCAACCUCACCUUCCUGUUACAUUGCACGUGGCCCCUCUCCCACCCUGGACCUCAGUCUCCCCAGGAGCUCUGCCGUAUGUGGGUGUUCUGGUUCCGUCCUGAUUUCUGUGGUCAGUGGAUCACAUUUCCAGUAAUUUACACACAUUCUCUUUCUCUCAUCGGAUGCAUCCAAUGCCUGAAUGUGACUUAACAGUCUUCAGUCUGUAUUCACAGAAAUAAAUUCCCAAGCUUGAGAAUGUUCCUUUUAUUUGCGCAAGUUACUUGAUGUGGGCUCAGAAGUAGGCCACUGUGGUGAGAGGGAGUGUCCCAGGGCCAACAGAAGGUGGCUCACGUGGGUGAAGGCCAGGGAAGCAGAGCCUGAGCGAGGAGCCAACCCCUCUGCCCCUCCCCAGAGUCCAUGCCCAGUGGGCCGUGGGGGACACAGAUCCUGCCAAGGCCCUCGGGCAGGAGCUGUGCGGUUCCAGCCUCUUUACUUUGUGGUUGACAGGCCCGGGCGUCUCUCUCCACCUGUUUUGUCUCCUCUUUGCCCUGUUGGAACCCCAGCCUCUCCAUUUCUGAAAAGAGCAGAGAAAGGACAACAUUGGUGAAUGACAGCAAUAAGAGAAGGUAGCCUUCACCUGCAGAGGAUGAGUGGCCCCAGCCUGGGCCUGCCCAGAGGAGGAGGCCACGGGGACACCGACAAGGGGCUGGUUCGGCAAGAUCAGAACCCUCAGUCUCCAGGAAGCAAGAUGCCAACAGCAUCCGCGGCUGGGAGUCAGUCAUUAGCGUCCCCUCAGACCCCACAUCUGCCCCUCCCAGCUCUUUCCCAUGGCAGCUUCCUGGGAUGACCUUCCUCCAGGCACAGCAGGGGCUGCCAUGGGAGGACAGCAAGUCUACAGGGUGGGCUCCAUGCACCCACCGAGGGGCCUUGCCUCCCUAGCUGUGCCACAGCCAGCUCUACGCCCAUGCUCACCGGCCUGACAGGGACCUGGGAUUUAUUGGCCGUGAGCCUCAGACAUAUUUGAAGGAGAAAAUGUAUUUUGGUUUUCUGCCAACCAUGUAGUCUUUUAUCAAAGAGAAGGCACUGGAAGGCACUUCUCAGAGGGAGGGUUCGGCAGAGCUCCCUGCCCUGAGGUGGAGUCGCUGACCCCUUCCACUUCCCAGUUCUGCUGCUGUAGCUCCUGAGGCUGGCUGAAGGCUGAUGGCCCAUUGCAAGGUGUGUGUGGCUGCUGUCCUUGUAUUUUUAAAAAGUCACUCAAGCCUGACAGCUGGGGAUGGGUAGGCAGCCAGUGGUAAGACCUGCCCAGGGCUCUAUCUCCAGCUGCCUGUCCCACCCAUGUCCCCCGCCCAUCAGCUCACAUAGACACACAGCAAGGAGUGGAGUGUGUUCCUAGAAGCAGCCCCCUUGGAAGAGGGGUCCCCUGCUCCUGAGAACUCCAAGGCAUUCCGCUCCCACCCUUCACAGGGCACAGGUGGCUGCUCGCGGACCUGAUGGUGCUUGGUAUCCUGUCCUGAAACCAUGGCCGCUCACUCAUCUAUAACCGGGUUACAGUCUAUCAGUUUAAAAUAAAAAAACUCAAAAUAAUAAUGACGUAUUAUACUGGCCUUGGCUCCACUGCACCCACCAGUUCAGCAUCACAGGGUGGGCUGUGCAUGCCAUGGGCUGCCGGAGACCAGGAGGCCACCUGAAAUGCAGUGUGACCAUCAGGCCACCUCCGCCCCUGGGACCCCAGUGUUGGGCCACGCUCUCACUGUAGGGUGAAGUGUUUCUGCACGUUUCUUUGUCCUCCAUCCAUCCAGAUCUCAGCAGGACCUCCUGCCCAUCCUCCGUGUGAUUCAAAGUCCCCGGAUGCACUCCAUGCAGCAGCGAGGUGGUUCUUCCAUAAAC
Molecule: long non-coding RNA, 3913 nt
Filed under: Macaca mulatta (Rhesus monkey)
Lineage: Eukaryota; Metazoa; Chordata; Mammalia; Primates; Cercopithecidae
Description: lncRNA (ENSMMUG00000061058.1)
Source: RNAcentral